This 253-nucleotide ribosomal RNA is filed under the name uncultured bacterium. RNAcentral describes it as "partial 16S ribosomal RNA". It matches the Rfam family "Bacterial small subunit ribosomal RNA", at positions 524 to 776 of the family's 1533-position model. The record is from RNAcentral.
UACAGGGGGUGCAAACGUUGCUCGGAAUUAUUGGGCGUAAAGCGCGCGUAGGCGGCCGCUUAAGUCGGAUGUGAAAGCCCCUGGCUCAACUGGGGAAGUGCACCCGAAACUGAGUGGCUUGAGUACUAAAGAGGGUCGCGGAAUUCCCGGUGUAGAGGUGAAAUUCGUAGAUAUCGGGAGGAACACCAGCGGCGAAGGCGGCGACCUGGUUCGAUACUGACACUGAGGUGCGAAAGCGUGGGGAGCAAACAGG